GUGGGGAAUCUUGCGCAAUGGGCGAAAGCCUGACGCAGCCAUGCCGCGUGAAUGAUGAAGGUCUUAGGAUUGUAAAAUUCUUUCACCGGGGACGAUAAUGACGGUACCCGGAGAAGAAGCCCCGGCUAACUUCGUGCCAGCAGCCGCGGUAAUAAGAAGGGGGCUAGCGUUGCCCGGAAUUACUGGGCGUAAAGGGCGCGGAGGCGGAUCGUUAAGUCAGAGGUGAAAUCCGUAGAUAUUCGGAAGAACACCAGUGGCGAAGGCGACAUACUGGCUCAUUACUGACGCUGAGGCGCGAAAGCGUGGGGAGCAAACAGGAUUAGAUACCCGUGUAGUCC
RNAcentral lists this ribosomal RNA (338 nucleotides) under uncultured bacterium. RNAcentral describes it as "partial 16S ribosomal RNA". It matches the Rfam family "Bacterial small subunit ribosomal RNA", at positions 354 to 796 of the family's 1533-position model. The record is from RNAcentral.